AUGCACUCGCGGCUCUGGCGUCA
RNAcentral lists this non-coding RNA (23 nucleotides) under Arabidopsis thaliana (thale cress). The record is from RNAcentral. Lineage: Eukaryota; Viridiplantae; Streptophyta; Magnoliopsida; Brassicales; Brassicaceae.